Molecule: ribosomal RNA, 440 nt
Filed under: uncultured bacterium
Lineage: Bacteria
Description: partial 16S ribosomal RNA
Rfam family: Bacterial small subunit ribosomal RNA
Source: RNAcentral
CCUACGGGUGGCAGCAGUGGGGAAUAUUGCACAAUGGGGGAAACCCUGAUGCAGCGACGCCGCGUGAGUGAAGAAGUAUCUCGGUAUGGAAAGCUCUAUCAGUAGGGAAGCAAAUGACGGUACCUGUCUCAGAAGCCCCGGCUAAGUACGUGCCAGCAGCCGCGGGAAUACGUAGGUAGCAGGCGUUAUCCGGAUUUACUGGGUGUAAAGGGAGCGUAGACGGCAGAGCAAGUCUGAAGUGAAAGCCCGGGGCCCAACUUCGGGACUGCUUUUGAAACUGCCCGGCUAGAGUGCUGGAGAGGUAAGCGGAAUGCGCGGUGUAGCGGUGAAAUGCGUAGAUAUUGGGAGGAACACCGGUGGCGAAGGCGGCUUACUGGACAGUAACUGACGUUGAGGCACGAAAGCGUGGGGAGCGAACAGGAUUAGAUACCCCUGUAGUC